UACUCUCACACUCUCUGAUCUUAUGUUGGAUUUGGGAGUGGUGGACUUGGGUGUUGCUGCUUUACUGUGGCUCACCUCAAAUGUGUUAGUGCAACUCUUGGUUGGACAUAGUACGGCGUGAUAAGUUUCUUCGCCGGCGCCUCGCAAGAGGGUGGCUAAUCGGAGAGCUCUGUGCUUCCAAACUGUCUUUGGACAAUCUCUGACA
Molecule: unclassified non-coding RNA, 205 nt
Filed under: uncultured Sebacina
Lineage: Eukaryota; Fungi; Basidiomycota; Agaricomycetes; Sebacinales; Sebacinaceae
Description: sequence contains ITS2
Source: RNAcentral